GGAAGGCGCGAACGUUGUUCGGUGUCAUUGGGCAUAAAGGGCACGUAGGCGGCCGUGUGGGGUCAGAGGGUGGGAAUCCAUCAGCUCAACUGAUGAACUGCCUCUGAAACUGCAUGGCUUGAGAAUCGGAGGGGGAAGUGGAACGUUGCAUGUAACGGUGAAAUGUGUAGAUAUGCAACGGAAGGCCGGUGGCGAAGGCGGCUUCCUGGACGAUUUCCGACGCUGAGGUGCGAAAGCGUGGGUAGCGAACGGGAUUAGAUACCCCGGUAGUCCACGCUGUAAACGAUGGGCACUACGUAGGGGGGCUUCUACGUUCCCCCUGCCGGAGCAAAUGCGUUAAGUGCCCCGCCUGGGGAGUACGGUCGCAAAGGCUG
RNAcentral lists this ribosomal RNA (374 nucleotides) under uncultured organism. RNAcentral describes it as "partial 16S ribosomal RNA". It matches the Rfam family "Bacterial small subunit ribosomal RNA", at positions 527 to 896 of the family's 1533-position model. The record is from RNAcentral.